AUACGGAGGGUGCGAGCGUUAAUCGGAAUUACUGGGCGUAAAGCGUACGUAGGCGGUUGGUUAAGUUAGAUGUGAAAGCCCCGGGCUUAACCUGGGAACUGCAUUUAAAACUGGCGAACUAGAGUUGAGUAGAGGGGAGUGGAAUUUCAGGUGUAGCGGUGAAAUGCGUAGAGAUCGGAAGGAACACCAGUGGCGAAGGCGACUCCCUGGACUCGAACUGACGCUGAGGUACGAAAGCGUGGGUAGCAAACGGGAUUAGAUACCCUAGUAGUCC
RNAcentral lists this ribosomal RNA (274 nucleotides) under uncultured bacterium. RNAcentral describes it as "partial 16S ribosomal RNA". It matches the Rfam family "Bacterial small subunit ribosomal RNA", at positions 523 to 796 of the family's 1533-position model. The record is from RNAcentral.